UGGGGAAUUUUGGACAAUGGGCGCAAGCCUGAUCCAGCAAUGCCGCGUGAGUGAAGAAGGCCUUCGGGUUGUAAAGCUCUUUUGUCAGGGAAGAAACGGGUGGGGCUAAUAUCCCCAUCUAAUGACGGUACCUGAAGAAUAAGCACCGGCUAACUACGUGCCAGCAGCCGCGGUAAUACGUAGGGUGCAAGCGUUAAUCGGAAUUACUGGGCGUAAAGCGUGCGCAGGCGGUUUUGUAAGUCUGUCGUGAAAUCCCCGGGCUCAACCUGGGAAUUGCGAUGGAGACUGCAAGGCUAGAAUCUGGCAGAGGGGGGUAGAAUUCCACGUGUAGCAGUGAAAUGCGUAGAGAUGUGGAGGAACACCGAUGGCGAAGGCAGCCCCCUGGGUCAAGAUUGACGCUCAUGCACGAAAGCGUGGGGAGCAAACAGGAUUAGAUACCCUGGUAGUCCACGCCCUAAACGAUGUCUACUAGUUGUCGGGUUUUAA
This 486-nucleotide ribosomal RNA is filed under the name uncultured Pseudomonadota bacterium. RNAcentral describes it as "bacterial SSU rRNA". It matches the Rfam family "Bacterial small subunit ribosomal RNA", at positions 355 to 833 of the family's 1533-position model. Lineage: Bacteria; Pseudomonadati; Pseudomonadota. The record is from RNAcentral.